Long non-coding RNA from Esox lucius (northern pike), 1114 nucleotides. Lineage: Eukaryota; Metazoa; Chordata; Actinopteri; Esociformes; Esocidae. The record is from Ensembl.
UUCCCACAAGCCAUUCUGUCAACCUAAAUGAGACCAGGACAGGAUCCAAGCACAGAGCUCUAACACUAUUUUGGUACAAUAAAACUCCAGUAAGAGGCGUCGUCGUGGAACAGAAGUGUUCAAUUUGCAGCGGUCUCUUAAUUUUAACCCUUCUGUACCUCAUUCAAAACCUUCCGUUUCAACUUUUUUGGAAAGGAAAGAAAAAGGAGCCAGGACUUUGGUCAAAGUCCUCAUGGAUAACAUCUGGUCAGAGUUGUCACCAGGGCCACUCCCGAACAUGUUUAAAGUAACCUUUUAUGUAAAAAUGUUGGAUGGGACAUGUUCCAGUAGCAAUAUCAGUGUUGCCCUUGAAGACAACAAGCUCAACUGGACGUACAAUUUCCCUUCUUCCGCGGUCUUCCUGCCAACUUGUCCAGACUGUCUUUUGAACCAGAUUACAACCACCAUCAAUGGAAACAACUUCAUGUCUCUGGAACUCUACAGUAAGAGAAGAGAACUCUCCGCUGCUGAACUGUUUCAGUUCAAGACACAGGUUGCCUGUCUCAACUUGCCACAGGCAGUUUUCCUCAACUCUAAGACAGAACACUGUCCAGACACCACUGCAAGGAUUCCCAUCAUGGAAGAGAAGUACAUGGAGUUCAUUCAAUCUAUGGAGACCGAACCUCUCAAGGGAUUUUUUUCAGUAACAGAUUAUCUCAUUGAGAAGGCAGAAUGCCUGGGAUGGAUUUAAAGCAGGCUCAGUUAUCCUGGUGGACUGGAGCUUUCCAAUUGAUUCAGCUAAUAAAUGUCUUGGUGAGCAUCUAAUCUCACCAAGGGAUUUACUCAAGCAGAAUCACAUGGGUUUAACUGUACUCUGAAUGAAAGGGGAGUUGGUGAAACCAUUUAGACUUUUUGUCUUCAUAAAGAACCGCUUCACUAACCUUACAAAAUGAUGUUUUCUAAUGGAACUUAACAACACCUGAUGAAGGUCUGAGAUGAACUGUAAUAUCUACAGUGGCUGUGAUACUGUAAAAAAAUCUGUAGGUUUUCAACAGGUUGUAUGAACAGUUUUAUGCAUGAAAAUGAUACUAUACAUGAUGUGACUAGAGCUUCAUUCUGUGUCCUUAAAGGCCUU